UACGUAGGGCGCGAGCGUUGUCCGGAAUUACUGGGCGUAAAGAGCUCGUAGGUGGUUUGUCGCGUUGUUCGUGAAAACUCACAGCUUAACUGUGGGCGUGCGGGCGAUACGGGCAGACUGGAGUACUGCAGGGGAGACUGGAAUUCCUGGUGUAGCGGUGGAAUGCGCAGAUAUCAGGAGGAACACCGGUGGCGAAGGCGGGUCUCUGGGCAGUAACUGACGCUGAGGAGCGAAAGCGUGGGGAGCGAACAGG
This 253-nucleotide ribosomal RNA is filed under the name uncultured bacterium. Its description in RNAcentral is "partial 16S ribosomal RNA". It matches the Rfam family "Bacterial small subunit ribosomal RNA", at positions 524 to 776 of the family's 1533-position model. The record is from RNAcentral.